Molecule: ribosomal RNA, 396 nt
Filed under: uncultured bacterium
Lineage: Bacteria
Description: bacterial SSU rRNA
Rfam family: Bacterial small subunit ribosomal RNA
Source: RNAcentral
AAUGAACGCUGGCGGCGCGCCUAAUACAUGCAAGUCGAGCGAGAAGACGUAGCAAUACGUUUGUAAAGCGGCGAACGGGUGAGGAAUACAUGGGUAACCUACCCUAGAGUGGGGAAUAACUAGCCGAAAGGUUAGCUAAUACCGCGUACGCUCCUUGGACUUCGGUUCAGGGAGGAAAGCGAUACCGAGGGUAUCGCGCUCUUGGAUGGGCUCAUGUCCUAUCAGCUUGUUGGUGGGGNGAUGGCCUACCAAGGCGACGACGGGUAGCCGGCCUGAGAGGGCGACCGGCCACACUGGGACUGAGAUACGGCCCAGACUCCUACGGGAGGCAGCAGUGGGGAAUAUUGCGCAAUGGGCGGAAGCCUGACGCAGCGACGCCGCGUGGGGAUGACGGCC